GACGAAGGAUGCGAGCGUUAUCCGGAUUCAUUGGGUUUAAAGGGAGCGUAGGUGGCCAUGUAAGUCAGUGGUGAAAUCUGGCAGCUUAACUGUUAAAUUGCCAUUGAUACUGCAGGGCUUGAGUACAGAUGCCGUUGGCGGAAUAUGACAUGUAGUGGUGAAAUACAUAGAGAUGUCAUAGAACACCGAUUGCGAAGGCAGCUGACGAAACUGUAACUGACACUGAGGCUCGAAAGUGUGGGGAUCAAACAGG
This 253-nucleotide ribosomal RNA is filed under the name uncultured bacterium. Its description in RNAcentral is "partial 16S ribosomal RNA". It matches the Rfam family "Bacterial small subunit ribosomal RNA", at positions 524 to 776 of the family's 1533-position model. The record is from RNAcentral.